GCUGAGGCAGGAGAAUGGCGUGAACCCGGGAGGCGGAGCUUGCAGUGAGCUGAGAUCCGGCCACUGCACUCCAGCCCGGGCGACAGAGCGAGACUCCGUCUCAAAAAAAAAAAAAGAGAAAUUGUCCAAAGAGUCCUCAGAAUCUGCCUGGAGCGCGCAUGGGGCUGGCCUGGUGCGUCGCAGGAACCACAGGAAGUGAGCCGGGGCUCACGUGGAGCAGCUGGGUCUUCAGGCUGCCUGGGCUGUUUGUUCUCAUGAACGACUCUGGAGCAGCUGUCUGUCCCUCAGAGGGCACCAGGAGGCAGCAAAGGUUAUCUUAUUUAUUUUAUUUUGUUUUCUGCUAUAUUUAGAGCGGCAAAAAACAGAGCAGAGGGUUUCUGCUGUCUCCAGACUGUCUACCAAAGAGAAGGCGACAGAUGCCUCCUGGGUUUGGAAGGGGGCUGCACUGUGGAUCCCCCAUCCAUUCUGCAGUCUCCAGCAGAGCAGGCAGCCAGGCCCCAGCGUGCAUCUGUCCCAGUGCCCCGAUGACCACCUGGUCAGCCCUCCCAGCCUCCCCUCCAGGGGGCUUUCCAGCAAAGCCACAUUCGGCUAGGAAUUUGGAACUCACAAUCUUUAUUAACCCCUGGCAAAACUUCCCGUUUGCAUGUCAGAUCACAUUGAAGCCUGAAGAUGAGCUUUUCUUACUAGUUUUUCCAAUAAGUAAUAGCAAAACCCACUUAUCAUACUUAAACUACAGUAAGGAAAAGAGGUGGUUCUCUGCAGCGAUUGUUUAGUGUGGCCCUCAACCAGUAAAUGUCCCCAAGUCUCCUUGGUGGGUGGCAGGAUUUAAAUUCAGCCAAAUCCUGUCCUAGUGUGUGCAGUGUCCUCGGCCCUGUGGACACAGGUGAAUGAGGGACCAGCCCUGCCCUGGGCUGUUGAGAAGAGAUCAGUCCACCCAGAGUUAGACAUUGUUUUUGUAGAAAACAGGCAUUUAUUAUGUUUAGGGUUUUUUUUUUUUUUUUUUUUUUCCUUACAGGAUAAAAGCCCUUUAUACAGAAACAGAAUGGAACCUUUCAUAUAAAAGCUUUUCUUUAAAGGCUGUGUGGUUCGUAUCACGAAUGCCUGUCAUGAGGCGGGAUUCGGGCACAUACCUGUAUUUUGGCCCCAGAGUGUGCUCUCCCCAAAUCCCCCGAGUAAACCUCUCCGGACCGCUGCUCAGACAACUACGUCAGGUGGAGGUGCCUCCCCCUCUGUGGGCACCAGCUUGGGGAGGUAGGUGCCAUCCACCAUUAUUUAUGCAGGAAGAGACGCAAAACAGCAAUGGCCACAUGGUACGGGGCUCUGCUGGCACCAGAAGUGAAUGAAAUCAGAACUGUCCCACUGAGUCUUCCAAAAGUCACAUUUUUUUUUUUUUCUGUCACCUGCCUUUGGUGACAGGGUCAAAGGCACAGAUUGAAGAGAAAAUCUUGAUUUGGGAGAAGCAUUUAUAUCCAGAUGCCCACCCUCACACUCCCUAGCUUACUUUCUACAUAAUUUAGUUUUAAGAGAAGGAAAUGCAUAAUGUGGUUUUUAGUCUUAACAAGCACUUAAAUUCGUUAGAUGCAUAGAAAAGAACCAUUUAUCAUUUUAUUAUUUUUAUUUUUAUUUUUAUUUUGAGACAGUCUCACUCUGUCACCAGGCUGGAGUGCAGUGGCACGAUCUCGGUUCACUGCAACCUCCGCCUCCCAGGUUCAAGCGAUUCCCCUGUCUCAGCCUCCCAAGUAGCUGGGAAAACAGGCACGUGCCACCACGCCUAGCUAAUUUUUGUAUUUUAGUAGAGACGGGGUUUUACCAUGUUGGUCAAUAUGGUCUCGAUCUCCUGACCACGUGAUCCACCCGACUCAGCCUCCCAAAGUGCUGUAAUCUAAGCAGACAGUUCUGUAAAUGCGUGAGGACCACCUGAAGUCUGCAACCACAGUGGAGGUCACCAAAGGGUAAACUGAGGAAGGGAAGAGGGAAUUCACUUGACCAAAGGCUUAGAGAUGCCCAGGCAAGCUGAUAUUUCCAUCCAGAAUUGUCUUGUUCUUUAACUCUGCUCAAUUGUCAUAUGUAAACAUGAAUUUAUAUACACGUAUGUCACAUGAGUAUGUCGUUUUAAAACAACGUGUACGUAUGUAAGUUUUGUCUGGAUACAGGAAGCUUCUUUAGAGGGCAGCAGGUUGAGGUCUCCGAUUUCUCCGUGGAGGGAAGCCUCUCAGGCACUGUGAUCUCCCGACCUCUGCGCCCUCAGGUGGGAGAGAUGUCAGGCAGCGGGGUCCUUUCCCUGCUGGCACCUGGUAAUGUUCUUGGAGAGAAAGAAAAAAAAAGGGGGAAAUCAUGUGGCCACUUUUCUUAAUAUCCUCUUACAUGAAGUCAUUCAUCAUGAAAAGUUGACUGGAAAAUAAAACACUAGAAAAUAUUAGGGAUGGUGACCAAGUGAGGACUCGUAUCUUCCCAGGACCAGUACAAAGCUCUGUGAAUGUGUCCACACCACCAGCGGUCUCCCCACCCCACACGGCAGCGCGGCAGGGCCGACCCUAGGGCCUGCUCCCCGCCACUGUUGCCCUUCCUGCACCACCCCAAUUUUCAAAGAACCUCUUCCCCAGAGUGUUUAUAUGUAUAGGAGGGAGGGUGGAAGUACCUAAACUCUAGAACUACAACAUCUAAGAAGCCGAGGCCCUGUUUUCUACACAGCAUAUGGUAUCGCAUAACACAAGCCUUCCGGUCUUGAGUUGAAAGGGAACAUGAAAACUCCAGCCUAUUGCUCCCACAGUCUGCUUCCAGGUUGUCAGCCUGCCAGUGAGGGUCUCCUGACCCCGUUUGUAAAGAAACACUGCACUAAGACUUGGGAAUCUCCCCAGCUCCCAGGGAGGGGCGGCAUACAACAGCCUUCCACUGCUGCUUCUACCUCCUGCACCGGCCCAGCAGCAUCUGUCGGUUCUUUUCCGAACUCAUCGCACUUGGAUGGCCUGUGGGCAGGGUCGCUUUUUGCGGGGAGGGUCAUUCUUUCAGUUGGCUUUUGGUUUCAUUUCUCCAGGGCUGGACCUGGUUCUCUUUUGAACACUUGUCAUGAUGUGGCAAGAGAGUCUUUGGAUUUGGGGCUGUGGUUCACCCACGGGAGUCACAGCUGCGGCCUGGACCUUUCCGCCUCACACCCUCACUCACCCUCCUUCAUUAUGCCUGGAGGAUGCCUGUGACGAUUGCCUUCAAGAUGAGGAAAGUGUUUCACUGUUUAUUUCCUCCAUGGGAUGUAGCAGGCGAGCAUGCUUAGGACAGAAAACCACUGAGUUUACUCAGAAGUUUCAAACAAAAAGACACAGUCUGCUGAUCAAUACACAUGGAGCUGCCUCUCCCACUGGCUCAUUUUCCAGUGGCUGCGUGCUGGCCUCUCGGAGCAGAGUGUGGAUCCCUGGAUCCAGGUUGAACUGGGGGAGAAGAGGUAGGGAGCGGGUGUGCCCGUGACCCCCAACUCUUCCUGUGGAGAGAAACCCAAAAUAUGGCUGCUUCAGAAGGAAAGCAGCCCCAUCGGGUGGGGGCAGAAGAGGGUAGGCAGCAGAGGCCAGGUCUGCAGACAAAAGCCACACCUCAGAGUGGUUGGAAGCCAGGACAGCAGGGACUCGUGGAGGCGGCCGCUUCACAGGAGUCCUUUCUCCAGUCGUGCUAAGGAGGAGCCCCUGCCUGGCCAGCACUGCCCCUGCCUCUUGCCGCACCUCGCCAGUGUGCCCUCUGCCCACCCACCACCGUAGUAGGCAUCUGGCUUUUCCCACCAACCCAUCUACCUUUUUGGUGGUCCAGACCUAGAGUCCUUGCAGAGUACCCCUCCUCCCACCCUCACUUCAAGUGAGGUUUGGAUGAGAUAGACCACAUCCCCCUGGUCACAAAUAUUGGUUCGGGAGUGGACAUGUGGGCCUGUUCAAGCUGAUGAGAGCCAGGACCCCCAGACUUCUGUUACAACUCUUGGGAGAGAGAUUGUCUCUUCUCUGAACCUUGCAGUAUAUAGAAAUGAGCCUAUUGAUGCAACAAUAUAAAUGGCAUUGAGAGGGGUGUCCAGAGCUGCUGGGGUCAGGGUAGGGAGGUCAGCCUGGCAGAAGCCACCUUGUGGAGCAUGAAAAUGAAAGAGACCUUGAGAAAGGCCAGAGGAAUCCAGGCCUGUGGUGACAUUUGAGCUGCUGGAUCAAACUUCACCUGAAGUCGUAUUCCUACUAGAUUUUAUUUUUUCCACUGUGUGGGCCAAUGCAUUCCCUUUAUACUGUUUAAGCCAGGCAUGGUGGCUCACACCUAUAAUCCCAGCAACUCGGGAGGCUGAAGUGGGAAGAUCAUUGAGGCCAGGAGUUCAAGACCAGCCUGGGCAACAUAAGAAGACCCUGUCUCUAAAAAAGAAUUAAAUAUAGAUAAAUAAAUAAGUAAAUAAAUAAUAAAAAUAUAUUGUUUAAACCAGUUUCACUUGA
Rhinopithecus roxellana (golden snub-nosed monkey) is the source of this 4445-nucleotide long non-coding RNA. RefSeq lists it as uncharacterized. The record is from RefSeq and is a predicted model, not a curated record. The transcript is spliced from 2 exons. NCBI's taxonomy places the organism in Eukaryota, Metazoa, Chordata, Mammalia, Primates, Cercopithecidae.